GCGGUGCUCCACACCGACCUAGAGGAGCCUGUCCUAUAAUCGAUAAUCCACGCUAUACCUCACCACCCCUUGCAACUCAGCCUAUAUACCGCCGUCGUCAGCUUACCCUAUGAAGGAAACAAAGUAAGCAAAAUAGUUUAUAACUAAAACGUCAGGUCAAGGUGUAGCACAUGGGGUGGAAGAGAUGGGCUACACUUUCUGCCACAGAACACACGAACAGCACAAUGAAAUUAGUGCUCAAAGGCGGAUUUAGCAGUAAGAAAAACAAGACAAUUUUUCUGAAGUUCGCUCUGGAGCGCGCACACACCGCCCGUCACCCUCAUCGCAUCUUAACACCACCUAAAAAUAUUAAACCCGAAUGAACCAGAUGAGGAAAGUCGUAACAUGGUAAGCGCACCGGAAGGUGUGCUUGGAGUACAAACAGUAGCUUAACACAAAGCAUUCAGCUUACAAUUGAAACAUGUUAGUGAAACCCUAACCUUUUUGA
RNAcentral lists this ribosomal RNA (487 nucleotides) under Trachylepis acutilabris. Its description in RNAcentral is "partial 12S ribosomal RNA". The stretch from base 1 to 425 matches the Rfam family "Bacterial small subunit ribosomal RNA", at positions 913 to 1533 of the family's 1533-position model. Lineage: Eukaryota; Metazoa; Chordata; Lepidosauria; Squamata; Scincidae. The record is from RNAcentral.